CCCUUAGAUCUUCUGGGCUGCACGCGUGCUACACUGAUAUUGCCAAUAUGUCAUUCUUAUCCGAAAUGGAUUGGGUAAUCAAGUAAUGAAAUUUCAUGCUUGGAAUCGGUAAUUGCAAUUUUAUCGUGAACGAGGAAUUCCUAGUAAGCACUAGUCAUCAGCUAAUGUUGAUUAUGUCCCUGCCCUUUGUACACACCGCCCGUCGCUACUACUGAUUGGGUGUUCAAGUGAGAUGCUUAGACCCUUGUUGCAUGGUUCAUUAUUGUGCUCCGAAAGGAAAAAGUUUCAAGCUUGAGUGUCUAGAGGAAGUAAAAGUCGUAACA
This 323-nucleotide ribosomal RNA is filed under the name uncultured eukaryote. RNAcentral describes it as "partial 18S ribosomal RNA". It matches the Rfam family "Eukaryotic small subunit ribosomal RNA", at positions 1470 to 1796 of the family's 1831-position model. The record is from RNAcentral.